AAAAAACUUCAUAAGGAAUGUUCGGUAUACCGAUAUACCGAAAAUAUCGGUAUUGAAACCAAUAUCGGUUUAUCGGUAUGAGUUUUUCAGUCAUCGGUAUGAGUUUUUCAACCUUGAUCUAUGCAAAGCAUUUGACACAGUUGAUGAUAAAAUCCUUAUCAAAAAGUUAUUUAUUUACGGAAUUCAAAACAAAUGCCUUGACU
Molecule: non-coding RNA, 203 nt
Organism: Paramuricea clavata
Lineage: Eukaryota; Metazoa; Cnidaria; Anthozoa; Malacalcyonacea; Plexauridae
Source: the annotation of a GenBank genome assembly